Molecule: transfer RNA, 73 nt
Filed under: Camelus bactrianus (Bactrian camel)
Lineage: Eukaryota; Metazoa; Chordata; Mammalia; Artiodactyla; Camelidae
Also listed under: 2 other names
Rfam family: tRNA
About the family: Transfer RNA (tRNA) molecules are approximately 80 nucleotides in length. Their secondary structure includes four short double-helical elements and three loops (D, anti-codon, and T loops). Further hydrogen bonds mediate the characteristic L-shaped molecular structure. tRNAs have two regions of fundamental functional importance: the anti-codon, which is responsible for specific mRNA codon recognition, and the 3' end, to which the tRNAs corresponding amino acid is attached (by aminoacyl-tRNA synthetases). tRNAs cope with the degeneracy of the genetic code in two manners: having more than one tRNA (with a specific anti-codon) for a particular amino acid; and 'wobble' base-pairing, i.e. permitting non-standard base-pairing at the 3rd anti-codon position.
Source: Rfam by way of RNAcentral
GAAGGUAUAGCUCAUGUGGUUGAGUGCAUGCUUAACAUGCACAAGGUCCUGGGCUCAAUCCCCAGUACCUCCU